Molecule: long non-coding RNA, 1138 nt
Organism: Esox lucius (northern pike)
Lineage: Eukaryota; Metazoa; Chordata; Actinopteri; Esociformes; Esocidae
Source: Ensembl
GUCACUGUAGUUCAACAGUUUCUAAAAGAGUCGUUAUUGCUUAACCACAUCGAAUUUAUCGCGGCUAUCCAGUGCGCACCGUCUCCCCCGCUGUUCUCCAGCAGAACUUACAAAGCAACGCACAGGAUCCACAAAUACAUGAGGACAUUCUGGGCCUAAUCCUCUUCAACUAAAUCUGGAGACAAUCUAGGAUAUCAAGCAGAACGUUCAGGGAACAGAUGCGUUCUUUAUAACAAGUUUUGUGGAACCACAGUGAGAACUACUGGUUGUACUCUCCAUUGUUUUUCAUCACUGAACUUGUCUUGGAAGGUUACAGGAACCUAUUGAAACCAUUGAAGUGGAGCCAUCAGCGAUGUCAGCAGCGAUGCCUACAUGCUCGGUGAUGUGUAGGGAGCGUUUUGAUAAUUAUAUAGAAUUAUAAUUUGUGUGGGAGACGGUGCUGCCUCUGUCUAUUAUCACCAAUAACCUCAGACACAAUAACUUUACACAUUUACAUAUUUCCCUCCUAAAAAAAAUUUAUUUCAGUCUUAGGUCCAAACCAGGAAUAAUCAGAGUUAUUGAAGGAAUGGCAUUUGUGCACUACAGUGUGCUGUCCAGUUCUCAAACAUAAUGAAACUAAACCAUGCUCAGUUUUAUAGCUAAAACACAGAUCUCUAGCUUAAAUUAAUACUGUUUUGUCAGCUGUCCAUAUGAUCUGAUACAACCUGUCGUGCCAUUUUAAGUGUACUGCUUAUUUGUGGAUUCAUCAUCCUCUAAACUUGGUCCUUAAUGUAGGGCUCUGGCUCAGUAGCCUUCCACCCAGUCUGAAGAACAGUAAGUGCCAGGCAAAUGCCUAUGCAUUUUAGAUAAGACCAUAAAACAUUUAGGUAAAUAAGACGCCAAUGCAUAUAUGUAGUUAGGGCCCAGUGCUGUUUUAAAGCCUGGCAGGGCUAUGUCCUGCUUUUUAGUCACACACUAACGUUUACACUUACCAACAGCCAAUCAGUGCCCUGACCCGUUAAGAACCACAAAUUCUCCAACUGCCAUUCAAAUGGUCUGCAACUUCUAAAAGCACCGGAAUGCAAAUUAUUUAGUACAAGAUUUAUUUAGCACAAAUUAUUUAUUUAGCAUGAGCUUAAAAAAUGUAGACAUUUAUAUG